This 63-nucleotide transfer RNA is filed under the name Rhaetus westwoodii. RNAcentral describes it as "tRNA-Leu". The record is from RNAcentral. Lineage: Eukaryota; Metazoa; Arthropoda; Insecta; Coleoptera; Lucanidae.
GUUAUUACUUUGGCAGAUUAGUGUGGUAAAUUUAGAAUUUACGUAUGUACGGAAGUACAGGUA